Etheostoma spectabile (orangethroat darter) is the source of this 197-nucleotide long non-coding RNA. RefSeq lists it as uncharacterized. Lineage: Eukaryota; Metazoa; Chordata; Actinopteri; Perciformes; Percidae. The record is from RefSeq and is a predicted model, not a curated record. The transcript has 5 exons.
AAAUAGGACCUGUUACUUUCAUCAGGUUGUUUUUUGACAAUGCCACGCAGACGCAGACACGCCGCUCGCCCCGUUCGCAGACGCAGGAGGACCCGCAGGUCCUCCCACGUCCACAGACGCAGGAGAGUCGUCCGACGCAGACGCUAGGCAACGCCAAUAAACAUCCAUCUUUAGGAGCAAUCUGAAGAGCAAAAGAC